AUACGGAGGAUCCGAGCGUUAUCCGGAUUUAUUGGGUUUAAAGGGUGCGCAGGCGGCCAUUUAAGUCAGCGGUUAAAUCGUGGGGCUCAACCCCAUUCUGCCGUUGAUACUGGGUGGCUUGAUUGCGGUCGAGGUUGGCGGAAUUCCUUGUGUAGGGGUGGAAUGCAUAGAUAUGACGAAGAACACCGAUUACGUAGGCAGCUGACCAGACCGCAAAUGACGCUCAUGCACGAAAGUGCGGGGAUCGAACAGGAUUAGAUACCCUGGUAGUCCGCACAGUAAACGAUGAAUACUUGUUUUCGGCGAUAUAAUGUCGGAGGCAAAGCGAAAGCGAUAAGUAUUCCACCUGGGGAGUACGCCGGCAACGGUGAAACUCAAAGGAAUUGGCGGGG
Molecule: ribosomal RNA, 392 nt
Filed under: uncultured bacterium
Lineage: Bacteria
Description: partial 16S ribosomal RNA
Rfam family: Bacterial small subunit ribosomal RNA
Source: RNAcentral